Molecule: long non-coding RNA, 489 nt
Filed under: Ananas comosus (pineapple)
Lineage: Eukaryota; Viridiplantae; Streptophyta; Magnoliopsida; Poales; Bromeliaceae
Description: long non-coding RNA (ACOM_LNC013425)
Source: RNAcentral
UUGCACGAGGGCAAGCAAUAGCCAAAAGUGAAAGUACUAAACUAAACAUCCAUACAAGUACAAUGAUUAUCUUUUAAUCACAUACAUGCAUUCAACCACAAGUUACAUUUACAUUCCUUUCAUCAUUUCUUCUCUUUUUACAUCACACUAAUCUCCAAAAUGAGCUUUAACAGUUAACAUCAUUUAUACAUCUAUGAUCAUCGAAUACAAAAGAUGAUAUAUAGGGUAGCAACUAAACAAAAUAUGAUACCCACUCGGGUGGUCACUGUCUAUGGCGCGAUACCUUUACCACGAUCGUCAGUCGGUUCACUCGGUCCCGGCUUUGUGGAAAAUAGUAGGGUGAGAACUACAACAAAAUUUCCAGUGGGUUCGGCCGUCGACCUCGCCGACUUUCCCACUAUGUCUAAAUCAGGCAUAAUAAAAGAAUAAACAGAUAGAUAGUAACCAAGCUAUACAAAUGCAGCUAAUAUGCCUGAAUAAUAUAUAAUC